Long non-coding RNA from Lineus longissimus, 480 nucleotides. RefSeq lists it as uncharacterized. The record is from RefSeq and is a predicted model, not a curated record. The transcript is spliced from 6 exons. Lineage: Eukaryota; Metazoa; Nemertea; Pilidiophora; Heteronemertea; Lineidae.
GAUUCAAAAGGACGCACGCACUUUAAAAGUAUCAGCGGUUUCCAUUGGUUGCUUCCGAUGGAAAUUAUUGAUUUACACACUGGUUGGAUCUAAUUGGUUAGUGCAGCGCCAUUCCCUAUCCGGGAUAUAUCUCAAUGCCUGGUUACAGGUGCAACACAAUUGUAUUAUAGCUGCAACUAUGAACUUUAAAAUCUUCAUUCUCUUUGUUUUGGCCAACCUGUUGGUCUUGGGUGGCGCCACUGAGGACGCAACUGAUGGAAAUGAGGCGAAAAGAGGCGCCACACGUCUGCCUGGCUCCAAACUCCUUGUUAAUCAAAUCCAGGCUGCGCCUCCGAAAGCAGAACUUUUAACUUCAAAAAGAAGUGAGUAAACGAGGAGACGAGGUCAAGGUCGAAUGAAAAUUGGGACCCUGCAACGAAGUCUUAACGCAACUGGGUACAUCAAAUCUCUUCGAAUCAUGUUUAGUUCUGAUUAGCCAAU